This 17-nucleotide microRNA is filed under the name Corchorus capsularis. RNAcentral describes it as "sRNA CCACVL1_17579". The record is from RNAcentral. Lineage: Eukaryota; Viridiplantae; Streptophyta; Magnoliopsida; Malvales; Malvaceae.
AUUUUUUUUCAUAUCUC